UACGUAGAGUGCAAGCGUUGUCCGGAUUUAUUGGGUUUAAAGGGUGCGUAGGCGGUUCUGUAAGUCAGUGGUGAAAUACUCUAGCUUAACUAGAGGGGUGCCAAUGAUACUGCAGAACUUGAGUACAGAUGAGGUAGGCGGAAUUGACGGUGUAGCGGUGAAAUGCAUAGAUAUCGUCAAGAACACCGAUAGCGAAGGCAGCUUACUGGGCUGUAACUGACGCUGAUGCACGAAAGUGUGGGGAUCAAACAGG
Molecule: ribosomal RNA, 253 nt
Filed under: uncultured bacterium
Lineage: Bacteria
Description: partial 16S ribosomal RNA
Rfam family: Bacterial small subunit ribosomal RNA
Source: RNAcentral